The sequence is a small nucleolar RNA, 214 nucleotides long. Its record names the gene U3. It matches the Rfam family "Small nucleolar RNA U3". From Rfam's summary of the family: Small nucleolar RNAs (snoRNAs) are involved in the processing and modification of rRNA in the nucleolus. There are two main classes of snoRNAs: the box C/D class, and the box H/ACA class. The record is from Ensembl.
AAGAUCAUACUUUCAGGGAUCAUUUCUAUAGUCUUUGACUUGAGAAAUAUCGCAGGGAAGUGAUCAGUUACUCACCACGAUGAAGAGAACCGAUGUUCCCUUCUGAGCGCCAUUAUUCCAGUGAGUGAUGAUGUAUUUCAUCCGCUCCUUGCCAUUGAUGACCGUUCCAUGCUCUCUAGUGGAGCCUGGAUGUGGGGAUCAUGAUCAGAGUGGU